CCUACGGGGGGCUGCAGUGAGGAAUAUUGGUCAAUGGACGAGAGUCUGAACCAGCCAAGUAGCGUGAAGGAUGACUGCCCUAUGGGUUGUAAACUUCUUUUAUAUGGGAAUAAAAUGUUCCACGUGUGGGAUUUUGUAUGUACCAUAUGAAUAAGGAUCGGCUAACUCCGUGCCAGCAGCCGCGGUAAUACGGAGGAUCCGAGCGUUAUCCGGAUUUAUUGGGUUUAAAGGGAGCGUAGGUGGAUUGUUAAGUCAGUUGUGAAAGUUUGCGGCUCAACCGUAAAAUUGCAGUUGAAACUGGCAGUCUUGAGUACAGUAGAGGUGGGCGGAAUUCGUGGUGUAGCGGUGAAAUGCUUAGAGAUCACGAAGAACACCGAUUGCGAAGGCAGUUCACUGGACUGCAACUGACACUGAGGCUCGAAAGUGUGGGUAUCAAACAGGAUUAGAUACCCUUGUAGUC
Molecule: ribosomal RNA, 460 nt
Filed under: uncultured bacterium
Lineage: Bacteria
Description: partial 16S ribosomal RNA
Rfam family: Bacterial small subunit ribosomal RNA
Source: RNAcentral